UCAACGGACUACGGUGGACAAGUCCGCAAACACCGCGCACUAAACUUGCGUACUUUAGGAAUUUGCAAAUUAAUUUGGAAUUUUACUCUUUUUUAUUAAUUUUUAACUUAAUUAGCCUGAUAAUAGCUUGUUUUAUGCUUAAAAAUAAAU
Molecule: non-coding RNA, 150 nt
Organism: Caenorhabditis elegans
Lineage: Eukaryota; Metazoa; Nematoda; Chromadorea; Rhabditida; Rhabditidae
Source: Ensembl